CUGCGGGUGAGCAGAGCAGUCCCUUCGUGGUCGCCAACUGAAACGAUACGCGGAAUAAAUAGACUCCAUAACCUGGGGUAGUUAUGAAGUGGACGUUCCAUAUGCAAAACACUGCACGACUUUUUCAUGCAUAUUCAACCCCUGGCCCCGCCUGUCCUCGCUUCUCAUGCUAAGUAAGUCCACGCCCUUCUGGGCAUGCGUGGUUUGCUGUGGUGGUCGUACGGGUGUCUCUUGGUGGUCCUGAGGCUGAAGAUUGUGGUUUUCCUCAUGAUUGAACUUUUGAACUUUUCCUCUCUGCGCGUGCGCUUUUAGUCCUUUGGUGCUUAUCUGAGUACGUCUGUCAGUCUUGAUAGGCUUGGAGACAGAGGAGCUUCUUUAUCUGGGUUCUUUGCUUCUUCUGGUAUUGUUCUUUAUGCAAGAAGCUUCAGAAAUUUGCAUUUUCCUUUGCCCUUUGUAUUAGGCAGAGGUUUCCUAAGCAAAAGGUAGAAAAUUCAACACAUAACUAUACAAGCUAAAUUAUAAAUGCUUAAUUCAUUUUGAUAACCUAAUUCUAAAAAUCUCUGUUUCACCUCGAGAGCUGUCACAGAGCAGAAGGGCAGAUGAGAUGCUGAAAAGCAGCAAAGCUGAACAGCCUGCCUCAGCUUCAGCAGUGUGCAAUUGACUGAAGGCGAAAAACCAAGCAGCAGAGCAGCAGGCUUCUGUGCGCACUGAAGGCAAUUGCAAGCAUGCAGCAGCUGCUCCUUGCCAAGCACAGGCAGCUGCCUAGGUUCUUGGUUCUUGACCAACUCACAGUUGCCCUUCUUUUCAGCAGCUGCCACCGUGUUCUCUGCAUCUCGCAGCCUCUGGGGAGCAACAAGAAUUUCCAAGGUGGGAUGCAUGACGACUAUGGCAAAACCCAGGAAAGUUGUCCUGGAACACCUUCCAUUGGCAUGCCAAGACUGAAUUCAACAGGCAGGAGAGCAGCAGCCACCGUCCUCCAGCUGUCUGCGAGCUUCGCACACAAGCCGGCUUCUUCGCGGCUUCGUUCUUCGCCUCUUGCAAGCUACCGCGAUCUCCGGCUGCCGGAGGACAAGAAGCGGCUACUUCGCGCACAGAUCACUGGAGCGGCAGCGGUGCGCUCCGGAGCGCCGCUUCUGCCGAAAGACUCCGGCAAGCGGCACUUGCUUUCGGCCAGCUCCGGAGCUGCGUAUUCUGCCUCUCUAGUCGCCUACAUCUUAGCCAAAAGCUUUUCCGCUCCAGUUCUCAAGGAGAAAGUGUACCAGCACUGCUCACUUAGCCCGACCUUGCCAAGAAAUAAGAUUUGCUGCACAUUCCAAGGACACUGCAUUUUCCUGGGCAAGCUGCAACCUUCUGGCAGAUGGCUGUGCUCUCUGCCCACUCCUGCCCAGUUCUUGGUACUAGCGGGCACGUUGCAGCCUGGCGAAGGCAAGAAACCUCUGAAACGAUACGCGGAAUAAAUAAAUAGACUCCAUAAGCUAGGGUAGUUAUGAAGUGGGUAUGUACGUCAGCGCCCGGCACAAGUGAGAUAGCUCUCCAAAACUUGUGCCCCGAGCCUCAGUCUGACCCACACUUUUAUUCUUAAAGACGUUCCAUAUGCAAUACACUGCACAACUUUUUCAUGAGUAUUCAACCCCUGGCCCCGCCUGUCCUCGCUUCUCAUGCUAAAGCUGUCACAGAGCAGAAGGGCAGAUGAGAUGCUGAAAAGCAGCAAAGCUGAACAGCCUGCCUCAGCUUCAGCAGUGUGCAAUUGACUGAAGGCAAAACACCAAGCAGCAGAGCAGCGGGCUUCUGUGCACUU
Molecule: long non-coding RNA, 1798 nt
Organism: Vidua chalybeata
Lineage: Eukaryota; Metazoa; Chordata; Aves; Passeriformes; Viduidae
Exons: 3
Source: RefSeq, a predicted model, not a curated record